This is a long non-coding RNA of Varroa destructor (honeybee mite), 485 nucleotides long. RefSeq lists it as uncharacterized. NCBI's taxonomy places the organism in Eukaryota, Metazoa, Arthropoda, Arachnida, Mesostigmata, Varroidae. The record is from RefSeq and is a predicted model, not a curated record.
CGCGAUCGGUUCGGUUUGUCAACGGACCAGGCAUUGGCAAUCGGAUGCCGCUAUUGAGUAGUCAACGGUCAGCUCUGGUCGACAUCGUUCUAAUACGAGAUACGGAAUGGGCAGAAUGAGAUAGAUGCACACUACAAGCGAACUAUAGAGUUUGUGUGUAAUGCUCGUGGUCAGAGAAACUCGUCAUAAUAAAAGCGAAAAGCCUUUGAGAGAAAAAUAGGACGUUGGAAGCUCGCGCUAAGGUUAGCGAAAAGGGAGACCUGUCAUACGCGACUACUUGUAUAGUCAACCUAUAACUUACCUCAAAAACUUCAGCGUCCUUUGUUACAAGUUGUUUGCCAUGACCAAAGCCUGCCUUCCGGCCGCACAUGUACUCGCUUUAUGAAGAAAAAGCGCAAUGAACAGGACUUGAAGGAUUCUAAGGAUAGCCACUUUACGCGCCUCAGGAAAUAUUGCUUUUACAGUGAGAUCGGAGAUAGCGAAAA